This 1448-nucleotide ribosomal RNA is filed under the name Citrobacter werkmanii. RNAcentral's name for it is "partial 23S ribosomal RNA". It matches the Rfam family "Bacterial large subunit ribosomal RNA", at positions 1 to 1487 of the family's 2925-position model. Lineage: Bacteria; Pseudomonadati; Pseudomonadota; Gammaproteobacteria; Enterobacterales; Enterobacteriaceae. The record is from RNAcentral.
GGGUUGUGAGGUUAAGCGACUAAGCGUACACGGUGGAUGCCCUGGCAGUCAGAGGCGAUGAAGGACGUGCUAAUCUGCGAUAAGCGCCGGUAAGGUGAUAUGAACCGUUAUAACCGGCGAUUUCCGAAUGGGGAAACCCAGUGUGAUUCGUCACACUAUCAUUACGUGAAUACAUAGCGUAAUGAAGCGAACCGGGGGAACUGAAACAUCUAAGUACCCCGAGGAAAAGAAAUCAACCGAGAUUCCCCCAGUAGCGGCGAGCGAACGGGGAGCAGCCCAGAGUCUGAAUCAGCAUGUGUGUUAGUGGAACGGUCUGGAAAGUCCGACGGUACAGGGUGAUAGUCCCGUACACAAAAAUGCACCUGUUGUGAACUCGAAGAGUAGGGCGGGACACGUGGUAUCCUGUCUGAAUAUGGGGGGACCAUCCUCCAAGGCUAAAUACUCCUGACUGACCGAUAGUGAACCAGUACCGUGAGGGAAAGGCGAAAAGAACCCCGGCGAGGGGAGUGAAAAAGAACCUGAAACCGUGUACGUACAAGCAGUGGGAGCACCUUCGGGUGUGACUGCGUACCUUUUGUAUAAUGGGUCAGCGACUUAUAUUCUGUAGCAAGGUUAACCGUAUAGGGGAGCCGAAGGGAAACCGAGUCUUAACUGGGCGUUAAGUUGCAGGGUAUAGACCCGAAACCCGGUGAUCUAGCCAUGGGCAGGUUGAAGGUUGGGUAACACUAACUGGAGGACCGAACCGACUAAUGUUGAAAAAUUAGCGGAUGACUUGUGGCUGGGGGUGAAAGGCCAAUCAAACCGGGAGAUAGCUGGUUCUCCCCGAAAGCUAUUUAGGUAGCGCCUCGUGAAUUCAUCUUCGGGGGUAGAGCACUGUUUCGGCUAGGGGGUCAUCCCGACUUACCAACCCGAUGCAAACUGCGAAUACCGAAGAAUGUUAUCACGGGAGACACACGGCGGGUGCUAACGUCCGUCGUGAAGAGGGAAACAACCCAGACCGCCAGCUAAGGUCCCAAAGUCAUGGUUAAGUGGGAAACGAUGUGGGAAGGCACAGACAGCCAGGAUGUUGGCUUAGAAGCAGCCAUCAUUUAAAGAAAGCGUAAUAGCUCACUGGUCGAGUCGGCCUGCGCGGAAGAUGUAACGGGGCUAAACCAUGCACCGAAGCUGCGGCAGCGACACUAUGUGUUGUUGGGUAGGGGAGCGUUCUGUAAGCCGUUGAAGGUGGCCUGUGAGGGUUGCUGGAGGUAUCAGAAGUGCGAAUGCUGACAUAAGUAACGAUAAUGCGGGUGAAAAACCCGCACGCCGGAAGACCAAGGGUUCCUGUCCAACGUUAAUCGGGGCAGGGUGAGUCGACCCCUAAGGCGAGGCCGAAAGGCGUAGUCGAUGGGAAACAGGUUAAUAUUCCUGUACUUGGUGUUACUGCGAAGGGGGGACGGAGAAGGCUAUGU